AAACACUCCAGCAGCACACACCUAAUGCAUGAGAGGACUCUAAGAUGUUAAGCAUGAAUAUGGAUACGUUAAGUAAACUCGCUGCUCCUGCCACGGCAAAGAUUCGGCAGCUUCAAAAGAUUGUCCAAGACAUCAAGAAGAAUGAUGGCAGCUUGCUGAACAAACUGAGGAGGCUGAAGAGCAAGCCGCUUCCAAAAGUGCCUGCGAGAGAUUACAGAGAUGACAGGGAAGAUGGUGAACUGUCUGAUACGG
RNAcentral lists this long non-coding RNA (252 nucleotides) under Cyclopterus lumpus (lumpfish). RNAcentral describes it as "lncRNA (ENSCLMG00005022077.1)". Lineage: Eukaryota; Metazoa; Chordata; Actinopteri; Perciformes; Cyclopteridae. The record is from RNAcentral.